This is a long non-coding RNA of Hyla sarda, 609 nucleotides long. RefSeq lists it as uncharacterized. The transcript has 3 exons. The record is from RefSeq and is a predicted model, not a curated record. Lineage: Eukaryota; Metazoa; Chordata; Amphibia; Anura; Hylidae.
UGUGCAACUUCAGCCAAUCAUAGAAGCCCCAGUGAGCUGAGCAAGCGUCUUCAUCUCCUCGGCAGGGAAGCAUCCGACAGCCAGCUCAGUGUUUAUAAGAGCAAGAACGAUGUCCCAAUGUCCCGAGAAGAAGCAGAGGGGGAGGGGAGAUCCCUGCUUUCCCCUGCACUGAUCACAAUCUGACAGCAGCCCCCACCUUCUGAGACGGAGAUCACAUGACUCAACUGCUGUGAUGCACCACAUGACUCCAUCUGCGAGGGAUAUUGGGGGACUUCUGCCUAGGAACACCCGUGAGGCAGCGCAUCUGGUCCCUUAUGCUCCCGGCACUGAUGACUGCCCUAGAGUGCAGAGGAAGGAGAUGAGCGGCCGCAGAAACUCGGGUGAGCCGCAGCAGUCACAGUGAUUGGAGCAGCAAUAGCGGUGAUGGAGGGACACUAAUAAUGGACAUCGGGAGAGAUAAGAGGACACUAAAGACUGAUCAGCAUCCCAACUCCUAACUUUCUUGCUAGCUCCUAGAUUCUUAAAUUUGUCAAGCCCUACUAUACAGCGUGGGAACAAACAAGUUCAAGGGGAGCCUGGAUGUUUUUCUAGAAAGUAACAACAUUAGGG